Molecule: ribosomal RNA, 468 nt
Filed under: uncultured bacterium
Lineage: Bacteria
Description: partial 16S ribosomal RNA
Rfam family: Bacterial small subunit ribosomal RNA
Source: RNAcentral
GACGAACGCUGGCGGCGUGCUUAACACAUGCAAGUCGAACGGAAAGGCCCUGCUUUUGUGGGGUGCUCAAGUGGCGAACGGGUGAGUAACACGUGAGUAACCUGCCCUUGACUUUGGGAUAACUUCAGGAAACUGGGGCUAAUACCGGAUAGGAGCUCCUGCUGCAUGGUGGGGGUUGGAAAGUUUCGGCGGUUGGGGAUGGACUCGCGGCUUAUCAGCUUGUUGGUGGGGUAGUGGCUUACCAAGGCUUUGACGGGUAGCCGGCCUGAGAGGGUGACCGGCCACAUUGGGACUGAGAUACGGCCCAGACUCCUACGGGAGGCAGCAGUGGGGAAUAUUGCACAAUGGGCGGAAGCCUGAUGCAGCAACGCCGCGUGCGGGAUGACGGCCUUCGGGUUGUAAGCCGCUUUCGCCUGUGACGAAGCGUGAGUGACGGUAAUGGGUAAAGAAGCACCGGCUAACUACGUG